RNAcentral lists this ribosomal RNA (253 nucleotides) under uncultured bacterium. RNAcentral's name for it is "partial 16S ribosomal RNA". It matches the Rfam family "Bacterial small subunit ribosomal RNA", at positions 524 to 776 of the family's 1533-position model. The record is from RNAcentral.
UACAGAGGGGGCAAGCGUUGUUCGGAAUUACUGGGCGUAAAGGGCGCGUAGGCGGCCCGCUAAGUCGAACGUGAAAUCCCCGAGCUCAACUCGGGAACUGCGUCCGAUACUGGCGGGCUUGAAUCCGGGAGAGGGAUGCGGAAUUCCAGGUGUAGCGGUGAAAUGCGUAGAUAUCUGGAGGAACACCGGUGGCGAAGGCGGCAUCCUGGACCGGCAUUGACGCUGAGGCGCGAAAGCUAGGGGAGCGAAUGGG